GAAGGGUUUCAGCUCAGUGGUAGAGCACCUGCUUGGCAGGCAAAAGGUGCAAGUUUCAAUCCCUGGCAUCUUCA
Non-coding RNA from Podarcis lilfordi (Lilford's wall lizard), 74 nucleotides. The record is from the annotation of a GenBank genome assembly. Lineage: Eukaryota; Metazoa; Chordata; Lepidosauria; Squamata; Lacertidae.